Long non-coding RNA from Melopsittacus undulatus (budgerigar), 333 nucleotides. RefSeq lists it as uncharacterized. The record is from RefSeq and is a predicted model, not a curated record. Lineage: Eukaryota; Metazoa; Chordata; Aves; Psittaciformes; Psittaculidae. The transcript has 3 exons.
CAUUCCCAUCCAUGGGUGCCCCCAUCCCCACUCUGGGUGCUGUGGGGGGUCCCUCAUCUCCCUGUCCCCCCCAGAUGAUUCCGUGCUCAAGCGGCGCCCUCAGAAAGCCUGGAACGAGUCCGACCUGGAUCUGGUUUAUGAGAAGAAGCCCCACAGUGGGGGGGGGUUCGACCGUCCCUCCCCAUCACUGGGGCUGAUGCUGUCACCAUGGAGGGAGUCGAGCCUGGAUGGGGCCGGAGGGGGCAAGGACCCCUAUGUGGGGCACAGCUCCACCCUGCCCCGUAACUUCAAGCUGCCGCCGGGGGAGCGCCGGGGCCCGGAGGGUCCAUUCCG